Molecule: non-coding RNA, 180 nt
Organism: Collimonas arenae
Lineage: Bacteria; Pseudomonadati; Pseudomonadota; Betaproteobacteria; Burkholderiales; Oxalobacteraceae
Source: Rfam
CCUCCUUAGGGGAGUAGCCGCCUUCGAGUCUUUCGAAGAGCGCAUGUCAACAUACUUGGCGCUGUACCACAUUUACGCCAUGGCAUGCGCGACCGCACGGUUUGGCAAGACCUAUGGUGCUUCCCUUUACCCGGCCGGGCGAAGGCGUUGCUCCAUUCGUCAGUGCCCGGCCCUCAGGAU